This 447-nucleotide ribosomal RNA is filed under the name uncultured bacterium. Its description in RNAcentral is "bacterial SSU rRNA". It matches the Rfam family "Bacterial small subunit ribosomal RNA", at positions 355 to 825 of the family's 1533-position model. The record is from RNAcentral.
UCGGGAAUUUUGGGCAAUGGGCGAAAGCCCGACCCAGCAACGCCGCGUGAAGGAUGAAGUAUUUCGGUAUGUAAACUUCGAAAGAAUAGGAAGAAUAAAUGACGGUACUAUUUAUAAGGUCCGGCUAACUACGUGCCAGCAGCCGCGGUAAUACGUAGGGACCAAGCGUUGUUCGGAUUUACUGGGCGUAAAGGGCGCGUAGGCGGCAAUUCAAGUCAUCUGUGAAAUCUCCGGGCUUAACUCGGAACGGUCAGAUGAUACUGCUUUGCUAGAGUGCAGAAGGGGCAAUCGGAAUUCUUGGUGUAGCGGUGAAAUGCGUAGAUAUCAAGAGGAACACCUGAGGUGAAGACGGGUUGCUGGGCUGACACUGACGCUGAGGCGCGAAAGCCAGGGGAGCAAACGGGAUUAGAUACCCUUGUAGUCCCUGAGCGGGCUGGCAAGGCGCAU